UCCUUGGUCUUGGAGCCCUCGGUGACUUGAACACACUCGUCCAGCAGCAGCUCUCCGUUCUCACUGGUGAGGCCGAGGACGAAUGGACUCUGCUCCACAGAGACCCAGCAGGAAGCUUCCUCCCUGAGGAUAAGGACAUAAAAAGGAUGACAAGUCUGUCUAAUUUUGCAUGUUGUACUGGAAUGGGAUCAACUCGAGAGUGAUGUCAUUCAAAGCCCACACUUCCGAGAUGCAAUACUGGAAACCACCAAACAGCCCAAAAGGCAGAAGUUGCUGCUGUUGUUAUUCAAUGGCUGAAGAUUAACUCAAAAAGACACAACACUUGUUUUGUAAAAUGAAUAUAUCACUGACUCUAAUCAAUAGCCUCCAACACUGUGAUCUUUCCCUAAAUACCACAGAGAGCACAGCAUGGUGUUUUAAUAUAGAGAAAAAUGUCAGAUCUGUGU
Epinephelus moara (kelp grouper) is the source of this 446-nucleotide long non-coding RNA. RefSeq lists it as uncharacterized. Lineage: Eukaryota; Metazoa; Chordata; Actinopteri; Perciformes; Serranidae. The transcript is spliced from 3 exons. The record is from RefSeq and is a predicted model, not a curated record.